Molecule: long non-coding RNA, 3195 nt
Organism: Hemicordylus capensis (graceful crag lizard)
Lineage: Eukaryota; Metazoa; Chordata; Lepidosauria; Squamata; Cordylidae
Exons: 4
Source: RefSeq, a predicted model, not a curated record
GGAUGGAGCCGCUCUGGGAAGAGCAGAAGGUUUCAAGUUCCCUCCCUGGCAUCUCCAAGAUAGGGCUGAGAGAGAGUCCUGCCUGCAACCUUGCAGAAGCCACUGCCAGUCUGUGAAGACAUUACUGAGCUAGAUAGACCAAUGGUCUGACUCAGUAUAUGGCAGUUUCCUAUGUCUUUUCUUCUGUCUACGUGGAGGAAGGUCAAGCUGCACAAAGAGAAUGCAGGAUCCUGCAAGGAAACAGCUGACUGUGAUGAGGGCAUAAUCAAGAAAGGCCUGGUCUCCACUUGGCCUAGCAGCCUUCCCUGAGCUGGGCCUGUGCCAAAGUAAAAGUGCCCAGGAGAAGGAGUGGGAAUCGGAAAAGAAUGAAGGCGAAGCAAGCAAUGGAGGAUCCUGAUAGCUGUGUCUCCUGAUCCAUACUACAGUCCUGUAAGUGUUGAAGAACCUCUUGAAUUUGUCUUCCCAGAAGAUGGAGAGGUAAGUCUGACUCCUACCACCUCCAGAGGCCAGACUGUCAGAGAGCUACAUAGGAAAAGACAGCAGUCCACAGAUAUCAAAGGUGUUGAAAAAGGAGCGUACUUCCUCUCUGUUGCUACUGAGCGCAGCACUGAACGCUGCCAAUACGAGAAUGCAGGUUUAGGCUAGGCAGUAGGAAUGCUUUCCCAAAUGGGAGAAGGGUUGCCAAGGUCACCUCAUGGAGUCCUGGGCUCCUCUUUGCUGAUGGUUUUCAGACAGAAGCCAGAUAACGAUGAUCUCCAAGGAGCCUUCCCACUCUAAAAUGCAAAGAUUCUGCUGUGAUCGUCACAUUGAGUCUGCAAGGGAUCUGCAAGUCCCGCCCCCCCGACACCCAGACUGAUUCUAUUUGCCCCCCAAGUUGACUGCAGUUAUGAGGAAGCAGAUUUAAGCUAAGCCUUGAGAAUAAUUUCCCACGGGAGAGAUGUCUGCAGAGGCACACACAACCAUCCCAAGUACAGAUAUAGAUAGUAUAGAGGUACACUCGCACAUAUACUUGUGAACACUUUUUUAAUGUCAAUAAUUGGUAAAGAGGGACCAGUGAUGCAUGGAUUUAUUUUUCUGAUUGAAUCCCUUCCCUUGAUGGGAGUUGCAGCCCAACAACAUCUGGGACCAAGUUUGAGAAUCUCUUGUCUGUUGGCUUCCCAGAGGCAUCCAGUGAGCCCCUAUGGGGAAACAGCAUGCUGGAUUAGAUAGGCCUUGGGUCUGAUCCAGCAGGGCUGUUAGGUUCUUAACAGUCAGGUAUGAUGGGAGUUGUAGUCCAACUUCUAUUUCCAGUCAUUCUCUUCAGCCUGACCUACUUUACAGGACUAUUGUGAGGAUAGAAGAAUUGCAUAUUUGGAGGUCCCGGCAGUAAGGGCAGAUAUAAAUUCCAGAAGCCAAGGGUUCUUAAAAUUGGGUCCCCAGAUGUUUUGGGACUAGAAUUCCCAUCAUCCUCAGCUACAAAGCCUUGCAGGAGUAUUGCAUGUCUUGUUUAUCAAAAGGGAAUCAUGCAUGUUUGGAAUGGAAGGGUCCUUGUAAGAGCCCUGAAAAGUUAGAUUACACAGAAGUUAUAUUAGAAGUUACAAAUAUUUUAAAGUUGAUGCUUAUGCUUUAUUUUAAAAAUAUUUAUAUAUUUCAUAUUGAAAAGACUCUUGGUUAAAACAACGCAGGGUUGUGUACAGCCCAUCGGAUCCCUCUACUACCUCUUGGUUUCUCCCAAGACGUGCUCAAGAGAGAUUUCCAUAGAGAUCUGCUUGCACAGACAUGACACUUUCAUCUUGCUUCUGAAUCCUUGCAAUAGCUGCCACUUGAAGCACUAGAGGGGUGGGGAGGGAUAGCUAUUCACAGCAAUUAGCCAAGAAGCUAGGGAUGACCCACCUGUAGCUCAGCAGCUGCUGUUGGACUAGAAUUAGCAUCAUCCCCAGCUGCUGUGUUGAGACUACAGAUGAUCACCCCCAUCAAAACAGGUGGCUGGGGAUGGUAGAAGUUGUAGUAUGGUGGGAGUUGUAAUCCAACACAGUGAUAACAAAUAUAGUCCCCUGAUGCAAAUCCAUGGUGAAAAGCAUCGUGAAAGAAAGCAUCAGGGUUUGGGCAACAGCUUGUAUAAGGGGGCUGGAUAAAGAAAUCAACAUGAAAAUAGGAAGGUUGAAACUAAGGGCGAAUAAGGGAAGGCCAUUAAAGUAACACAUUGAUCUGAAUUUAAGAUGCUAUUACCCCAAAUGAUUUGAUGUUAAAACUCAGGGUCAUGACGUAAAUUCAGAAUCCUGCUGUUUUAGCAAAGAAGAGCUUCCCUUUCAACAUCUAACAAAGGAUCCCAUCCUGCUUCUGAUGCACUGUUAUCAACGCGAGUGCUGAGGGUUGCCUCGGCCGGGUAAAUAUGCAUUGACACAAUGACAAAUCUCUCCGGUGGCUGAGCGGAAUGGUGGGCCCUAGAGAAGGCAGGAAGAGGCUGAGGAGAGCAACCCCACAACAGAUGCCCAUUCCCUUUUUGACUAGGUUUGCAAAAGCCUGGUGUACACUCAAGGUCAUGAGGCUUUUGCAAAGAGGGGGCAUAGUUUCCCGGGAAACGACUUCACCCCAGGAGUGGAAUCCACACCUUAGUUUACAGAGCUCCCUUCAAACUAGUUACUGAAGUUGCAGCCCAGGUUUGCACCCGUUCCCUCUGUCCCAUCUCUUGAUUCCGAGUCUGGGUCCCCAACCCCCCCUUCCCCUGGCUCCACAUCCAGUGCGGGGUGCAAAUGUCACGUCCAGUCCUGGCAGGGUGCAAGAAACAAGGCUGGACCCCACAGUGAACCAGUCUAGGGCCAAGCGGGGGGGCAGAGGGUGCGCUAGUGAAAGCGAUCCCCGCCCUCUCUUGGCCUUCUGCAGGGACACCUUGGCAUCCACUCACCCCCCUCAGGUGACAGUGUGGGAUUAGCCGGUCGCCAUUUGGGGCCGAGUAGGAAUUUUCCCCAUCCACCCGGAUUGGCCUGGAGGUGGCUGGUUUUUUGCCUACUCUGCACUGUUGCACUGGAAGGGAUUUCUGAUCUGGCGGAUGUUAGGAGUGGUGCCGCUAAAUAGUGUAGCCCCUUGGUCACCAUGGCAGGUCCGAGGAGGGGAUGUAGUGCCCCACCCCAUUGGUGGCAGGUGCGAUUUCCCCCAGCUACACUCUAGUUCUCUGCUAAAAUGAGUCAAUAAAGUGAUGGCCCUAGUUUCAACCCA